This 1380-nucleotide ribosomal RNA is filed under the name Vibrio vulnificus. RNAcentral's name for it is "partial 23S ribosomal RNA". It matches the Rfam family "Bacterial large subunit ribosomal RNA", at positions 1567 to 2925 of the family's 2925-position model. The record is from RNAcentral. Lineage: Bacteria; Pseudomonadati; Pseudomonadota; Gammaproteobacteria; Vibrionales; Vibrionaceae.
CGUCGAGCUACUACGGUAGUGAAGUCAUUGAUGCCAUGCUUCCAGGAAAAGCCUCUAAGCUUCAGAUUGUAAGGAAUCGUACCCCAAACCGACACAGGUGGUCGGGUAGAGAAUACCAAGGCGCUUGAGAGAACUCGGGUGAAGGAACUAGGCAAAAUGGUACCGUAACUUCGGGAGAAGGUACGCUCUUGAUGGUGAAGUCCCUUGCGGAUGGAGCUGACGAGAGUCGCAGAUACCAGGUGGCUGCAACUGUUUAUUAAAAACACAGCACUGUGCAAAAUCGUAAGAUGACGUAUACGGUGUGACGCCUGCCCGGUGCCGGAAGGUUAAUUGAUGGGGUUAGCGCAAGCGAAGCUCUUGAUCGAAGCCCCGGUAAACGGCGGCCGUAACUAUAACGGUCCUAAGGUAGCGAAAUUCCUUGUCGGGUAAGUUCCGACCUGCACGAAUGGCGUAAUGAUGGCCACGCUGUCUCCACCCGAGACUCAGUGAAAUUGAAAUCGCUGUGAAGAUGCAGUGUACCCGCGGCUAGACGGAAAGACCCCGUGAACCUUUACUACAGCUUGGCACUGAACAUUGAACCUACAUGUGUAGGAUAGGUGGGAGGCUUUGAAGACGUGACGCCAGUUGCGUUGGAGCCGUCCUUGAAAUACCACCCUUGUAUGUUUGAUGUUCUAACGUUGGCCCCUAAUCGGGGUUGCGGACAGUGCCUGGUGGGUAGUUUGACUGGGGCGGUCUCCUCCCAAAGAGUAACGGAGGAGCACGAAGGUGGGCUAAUCACGGUUGGACAUCGUGAGGUUAGUGCAAUGGCAUAAGCCCGCUUAACUGCGAGAAUGACGGUUCGAGCAGGUGCGAAAGCAGGUCAUAGUGAUCCGGUGGUUCUGAAUGGAAGGGCCAUCGCUCAACGGAUAAAAGGUACUCCGGGGAUAACAGGCUGAUACCGCCCAAGAGUUCAUAUCGACGGCGGUGUUUGGCACCUCGAUGUCGGCUCAUCACAUCCUGGGGCUGAAGUCGGUCCCAAGGGUAUGGCUGUUCGCCAUUUAAAGUGGUACGCGAGCUGGGUUUAGAACGUCGUGAGACAGUUCGGUCCCUAUCUGCCGUGGGCGUUGGAAGAUUGAAGGGGGCUGCUCCUAGUACGAGAGGACCGGAGUGGACGAACCUCUGGUGUUCGGGUUGUGUCGCCAGACGCAUUGCCCGGUAGCUAAGUUCGGAAUCGAUAACCGCUGAAAGCAUCUAAGCGGGAAGCGAGCCCUGAGAUGAGUCUUCCCUGAUACUUUAAGUAUCCUAAAGGGUUGUUCGAGACUAGAACGUUGAUAGGCAGGGUGUGUAAGCGCUGUGAGGCGUUGAGCUAACCUGUACUAAUUGCCCGUGAGGCUUAACCAU